RNAcentral lists this ribosomal RNA (351 nucleotides) under uncultured bacterium. Its description in RNAcentral is "bacterial SSU rRNA". It matches the Rfam family "Bacterial small subunit ribosomal RNA", at positions 8 to 350 of the family's 1533-position model. The record is from RNAcentral.
AGAGUUUGAUCCUGGCUCAGGAUGAACGCUAGCUACAGGCUUAACACAUGCAAGUCGAGGGGAAACGACAUCGAAAGCUUGCUUUUGAUGGGCGUCGACCGGCGCACGGGUGAAUAACGCGUAUCCAACCUGCCCAUCACUUGGGGAUAACCUUGCGAAAGUAAGACUAAUACCCAAUGAUAUCUCUAGAAGGCAUCUGAAAGAGAUUAAAGAUUUAUCGGUGAUGGAUGGGGAUGCGUCUGAUUAGCUUGUUGGCGGGGUAACGGCCACCAAAGCAACGAUCAGUAGGGGUUCUGAGAGGAAGGUCCCCCANAUUGGAACUGAGACACGGUCCAAAUCCUACGGGAGGCA